This 104-nucleotide small nuclear RNA is filed under the name Notamacropus eugenii (tammar wallaby). The record is from RNAcentral. Lineage: Eukaryota; Metazoa; Chordata; Mammalia; Diprotodontia; Macropodidae.
GUAUUUACUUUGGUAGCACUUAUACUAAAAUUGGAACGAUACAGAGAUAAGCAUGGCCUCUAUACAAGGAUGACAUGUAAAUUUAUGAAGCCUUCUAUGUUAAA